UUUGAAUCGAAAAUCCAAAAUGGGGUAGCAAAUCCAUCAAUUAUCCGAAUCCAUUUAUCAAUUUGAAUUGAGCAAUUCCAUUUAUUAAAUGUUUUCUCUCUCACACUGUCUCUCUCACACACACACAGACACAAACUGUAAUUAGACACAGUCUCACACUCUCAACAUUGCCAUUCAUCCAAACAAAAGAGGAAAAGCUGUGCGUAAUGGAGAUGAGGCUAUUCCAAAUCGGGUCGUAGAGCAGGAAAGCGUUGAGGAGCUUGGAGGCUCUGUCCUCUCUGGAGCUAGAGGUUUAGGAGGCAAUUCAACUUCUCCCAAGUGAAGGCAGCGACUUCUCCACUCCGGUGAGGCUUCACACAAAUGACAAUGCAAAGAGAAAGUGUUAGUGCUUCUGGUUUGUUUGGCUUAUGUAUGGAUGCCAAGAAAAUGCGGUAUUUUCUUAGUGGUUGGGGCUUAAUUUUUUGUUGAGUUUCUUUUUGCAAGAGUUUGUUUCCAAAGAAAGUGCAAAGAGAAAGUGUAAAAGAGAAGAAAAUUGAGAUUGAAAGUAUUGUGUA
This is a long non-coding RNA of Quercus robur (English oak), 554 nucleotides long. RefSeq lists it as uncharacterized. The record is from RefSeq and is a predicted model, not a curated record. NCBI's taxonomy places the organism in Eukaryota, Viridiplantae, Streptophyta, Magnoliopsida, Fagales, Fagaceae. The transcript is spliced from 2 exons.